RNAcentral lists this ribosomal RNA (507 nucleotides) under Tryblionella compressa. RNAcentral's name for it is "partial Bacterial large subunit ribosomal RNA". It matches the Rfam family "Bacterial large subunit ribosomal RNA", at positions 774 to 1244 of the family's 2925-position model. The record is from RNAcentral. Lineage: Eukaryota; Bacillariophyta; Bacillariophyceae; Bacillariales; Bacillariaceae.
CCGAACCCACCAGGGUUAAAAACCUGGGGGAUGAGCUGUGGGUAGGGGUGAAAGGCCAAUCAAACUCCGUGAUAGCUGGUUCUCCCCGAAAUGCAUUUAGGUGCAGCGUCGCAUGUUUCACCUCGGAGGUAGAGCUACUGGAUGGCCGAUGGGCCCUACAAGGUUACUGACGUCAGCCAAACUCCGAAUGCCGGGGUGUGAGAGUGCGGCAGUGAGACUGCGGGGGAUAAGCUUCGUAGUCGAGAGGGAAACAGCCCAGAUCACCAGCUAAGGUCCCUAAGCGUGUGCUAAGUGGGAAAGGAUGUGGAGUUGCGAAGACAACCAGGAGGUUGGCUUAGAAGCAGCCACCCUUGAAAGAGUGCGUAAUAGCUCACUGGUCAAGUGAUUCCGCGCCGACAAUGUAGCGGGGCUCAAGCACACCACCGAAGCUGUGGCAUCAGCACUUUGCUCAGCUCACCCUUUUGUGGGGUGGGUUCAGGCGUGUUGAUGGGUAGGGGAGCGUCGUGC